This 464-nucleotide ribosomal RNA is filed under the name uncultured bacterium. RNAcentral's name for it is "partial 16S ribosomal RNA". It matches the Rfam family "Bacterial small subunit ribosomal RNA", at positions 28 to 506 of the family's 1533-position model. The record is from RNAcentral.
GACGAACGCUGGCGGCGUGCUUAACACAUGCAAGUCGUACGGUAAGGCCCUUUCGGGGGUACACGAGUGGCGAACGGGUGAGUAACACGUGAGUAACCUGCCCACAACUUUGGGAUAACGCUAGGAAACUGGUGCUAAUACUGGAUAUGUGCUCCUGCUGCAUGGUGGGGGUUGGAAAGCUCCGGCGGUUGUGGAUGGACUCGCGGCCUAUCAGCUUGUUGGUGGGGUAGUGGCCUACCAAGGCGGCGACGGGUAGCCGGCCUGAGAGGGUGACCGGCCAAAUUGGGACUGGAAUACGGCCCAGCCUCCUACGGGGGGAAGCAGGGGGAAAUUUUGCAAAAUGGGCGCAAGCCUGAUGCAGCAACGCCGGGGGCGGGAUGGCGGCCUUCGGGUUGUAAACCGUUUUAAGCCGGGACGAAGGUUUUUUGGACGGUACCUGAAGAAGAAGCCCGGGUAAACUCGGG